CCCUCCCUCCCUCCGACCUUUCAUCUCUCCAGCCUACCUGCCCGGCGGCGGUUGCUCGGCGGCCACCGUACCCGCGAAAUGCGAGCAUUCAACGGCCGCCGCCUCCACGAUCCGAAGCCCCCCUCAUUCCUCCCCCUCCCCUUAGCCCCACGCACCACAACGCCGCCACCGCCGCCCCCCUCCUCGCCGCCGCACGCCAUCCCGCCGCUCAACUUCCGCUACCUCACCCCCUGUCCGCGCUGGUCUGCCUGGGUCGCCACCGCACUCAGCGACCCCGUUUUCGCUCCCAUCCUCGCCUCGUCCGCCAUCUCCGGCGCCGUCGCCGCCUCCACCGCCGUCGUCUCCCCCGACCGUGCGGCCCUCUCCGCUCUGCUCUCGCUCUGGGACCCGGAUACCCACGCGUUCCGUCUCCCAGCGGGCCCCGCCACCUUCACACUCGAGGAUGCGCUCGUCCUCGCUGGUCUACCGCCCGCAGGCGCGCCGCUGGACCGGACCCUCACGCCAGAGGAGGAUGACCUCCGCGUUCGCCUCGUUGUCGAGAGGGAGAAGAUCAAGGAGCUCCACCCCUGUGCCCGCGCCGCGCGCCGCGUGUCUGCGGAGGUGUGGCUCGAGUGGUUCGACGGCGGUGGCAUACGCCCCGGCGAGGACGACGAACUGCGGUGGCUUGGGUUCCUCGCUUACUGGCUCGCUUUUUUUGUUACGCCAAGGCUCCGGUCAAGGGGUGGCGAGCUGCCGGAGCGCGUCUUCGCACAUGCUGCGAGGCUUAGUCUUGGCGAGCGCAUUGCCCUUGGCCAGGGGAUGGUGGCAAAUCUAUAUGCGGAAAUGGAUAAGAUUGUUACUUGCACUGUGGCCGAUGGUGUGUGUGGCCGUCUAGAUGUCUGCGUGCCAGUCUGGAUGCUGCAGGUGUGGAUGUGGGAGCGCUACAAGAGGCUGUGCCCGCCGGAGCUGAAGGCACCGCAGUUCCCUGUCUCCAAUGUCAGGGUAUUGUAUUGGAGCCGGAGGAAGAAGAAGAGCACAUCUGAAGAGGCUCUAAAGAUUUUGCUGGACGAAGUAUGCUUUGAGUGGAGGCCCUAUCGGCACAACUCCCUCAACUGGAUGGAACCCAAGUGGUUCAACAAGGACACCAUUUUGGUGACCUGUCAUGGUAAAGAUAAGCCAGAGUGGUUGUUGGAUUACAUUGCUGUUAUCAGUCAAACAAUGUUGACCGGGUUUCAUAGUGAUGACACCGACAAUUCAGUACUGUACAAUCCACAGCUUGUUGCGAGACAGUUUGGUUAUGAUCAGGCUGCUCCUGUGUCCAUUGUCAGGGAAAUCCACUUUGAGGGAAUCGAGUUGUGGAUACCAAGUAUCGGUAGAUAUGGGAUGCCUGGUGAAGAUUAUGUUGCAUGGUGUAGCAGCAGUGGGCAGUUCUACAAGCAUCAAAAUGAUGUCCAAUAUGGUUGCUCGGUAUUACGAAAUCAUGAAAAUGGGGCUAUUUCGUCGCAACUGAAUGUAAAUGAGAAAUGUGUUGUAGUGCCAACACUUGAUCAAUUUAUCACCCAAGUCACUAGGAGAGACCACAUCAAUUACAUUGUAGAAGGGCAGCCGGAGAAAAUGGAUAAUGGAAGUCAUGAGGAUGAAACAGAGGUGAUUGUCUGUGGCCUUGAAGCUUGUGUCAAGGAUAGCAGAACUACUUCAGUGAAACAGAAUGUGCAGAAACAAAGAGAUAAAUUUGCUGAAGAUGGAGGUGAUAGUAAGAAGAAAAGAAAAGUAGAAAGUAACACGAAAAGGAGUUCGUUGCAAUUGGAAGGUCAGAAGUAUUCUUCACUCCAGAAAGCUCUAAAUUCUGAUUCUAAGAAAUGUGAGGAGUUGGCUCAAGUUGACAGUGAUGAUGAAUGCAUUGUUCUCGAACAGCCCAAGAAUAAAUGUGAAGUAAUAAACCUGGAUGAUGAUGAGGAACAGAGUGUUUCUAAUCGAGAACAUCAUAACAUGCAACUUGUCCUAGAACUGGAAGAGUUUGUCCGCUCUGGUCUUCUCUCGCAAUGGGAGGAAAGCUCAGAUGAAGAUGAUGUAAGUGGAAGCAAGCAAGAAACCCAGAAGAAAAGCAACAAUGACCCCUAUGCUGAAGCAGCCAUGAGGGAGUACCCUCUGUUCUUUGAGUUCAUUCCUCAGAAACCACAUUACAGAGGCUUCGUGAACUAUGAUGAAACUUUAGGAGAUCUACCUUACAGUGGAUUAUGGUUUUUGCUAAUUGGCUUGGCUAAGGAGGUGCUCAAGACGUCAUGUGACACAGAUGCUUCUGAAAUUGCAUAUCUGAUGAAAAAAGCCCAGCAUUUAGAGCAACUGGGUUUCAACGUGACACAUCUCAUUGCCCGCUUAAAGGAGCCACAAAUUAGGCUUAAGAAGCUUCAAGAUUCUAGAGCAAGGCUUGAUCAUGCCCGUGAGAAAGAGGAGGGCAACGUAGUCGAGUCUCUUUCAAGCCAUCUGAAUAAACUGAAGGGCAACAUAAGGAUGAUGGAUAGUCAUCUGGAUGGAACGAAGCAAGCUUUUAUUUCAAAUAUACAAGAUAAAUUGAAUGAAGGAAUUAAUCUUGCCAGUUUGGAAAAGGAAGUAGAAACUGCUGAAAAAUGUUGUCAGGCAAUGAAGGAUGAAGUAGCUGCAAUGAGAAUGAGGCUUUCUGUGUGCUCCUGGAUAAGCAAUUGCAGUCUGGAAGGAUAAGGAAGUGUCCUACCGAAAAAGGAAAAGGCAAAGGCAAGGACUACUGUACAUAGGACGAGAUCACAAAACUUAAUAAACUUCUCAGAAUACUUGUUCAGGCAUGCAGAACGUAAUUGCAUUCUUCUGUGUAAAUAUGAAGCAUGAAUGUGCAUCUACUGCAAGCAAUAGCUCAUUUGAACAGCAGACUAGAGAACAAACGUGGGCCGAAAAAUGAUCAGAAAUAGAGACAACACUGAUUUUUAGGAAGGAGGAUCUUGAACUUGUUGAUUCGGUUUUGUAGUUGGCAAGGAAUGAGUCAAAAAGCAAAUGUAUAUCCUCUCCUGGUAUAGCCAUUAUCAGGCCCUGUCCCUUCUGGUAAGGCUUGCAAUAUUUCGUGGAUUAUGAACCCAGGUCGCUUUGAUGAUAUUUACUUGCAAUUGUUCAUAAUCUUUAUGUGGGAUUAUUAAUUUCUGAUUUUAAUACUACCUGAAGUUUCUUCUUGGCUAAAGGGCAUUGCCAUAAUGCCAUUUCCCUUGUGAAACGAUGGGACCUGUUGUAUGGUGGAUUUAUUGCUUCCCACUAUAUUCUCACAGUAUUGUAUAAGAAAAUUUCUUUAUAUAAUCUCUUUAAACAUGCACAGGAGUAAAUGUCGUAUUGUAGCUUUAUAAUCACAUUUGAGCAAAUUUCAUGUGUUGGAGAAUGUCAUAUUGUAGCUUUAUAAACAUACUUGAACAAUCCCUUUGUUAAGUUUGUGGAUCUCAAUUUGUGCUAACUUCCCAUCAUGGAUUAGAAAUCAAAACUGAAGUAUGUUGAUAAACUGAUCAAUGGAUUGGCACCUGUUAAAUGAACUGAGCAGGAAUGCAUCGAUACAUUCAGAACUGUCAUUUUCAGGUGCUUGGAGUUUACAACGAAUGACUAUGUAGAAAACAACAAAUGUACAUCCUCCUAUCAAAAUAAAAAUGUAUACCCGCCUAGUAUUGUGUCGACUGCCAUUCUGCCAUCUGCUCCCAGUCAUUAUGAGACACCUGGUCUGUCAUGGUAAGGCUGCCAAUCUUUCAAACUAAGAUCUCCUCUGAUGAUAUCCGCUUCGAAUUGUUAAUACUCUACAAUAGUGUUUGGUUCAUAAAUUUGUAAUGCCAUUUGAUUACAGGGGUAACAGAUAUUGCUAGAUUCUGUUUGUUUCAGAUCAGCAGUAAUCUGAUCACACUGAGAUGUGAGAUCCGAUGCCAGCCUGUGGGAACUUGUUACCGCUGCCCCACGAACGUGAAGCGUAAAGCGUUACAAUCCCGUCAUCGUCUUCUCCGUCUCCACAUCCUUUCAGCCAUGGAUAGCAGCAUAGCUCCACAUACUCCUAUGGCGUUCUGUUUGUCUUGGCCGCUGCCAUCGACCAAGGUGCCACUGGCUGCCACCAUGGUCGCCAUUGUGCUACGUCUGACAUCUUGCUGCAGACUGCAGAGCUUGUGGGCUUUGUUACUCAGUUUUUGUUACCCAUUUACGUUACUGAGUGGAAACCAUCCCGUUACUUUGUUACAAUGACGUUUAUGUCACAUUUUCUGAACCAAACAGCACCUAAUACAAGUUAAUUUCUCCUCGGCUAAAGUGAGUUGCCGUAUCCUUAGUGAAAUGAUAGAAUCUUGUAUGGUGGAACCAAUGUUUCUCAUUAUAUUCUUUAAUGUACUGACGUUGCGAACUA
This is an RNA transcript of Zea mays, 4369 nucleotides long. RefSeq lists it as uncharacterized. The record is from RefSeq and is a predicted model, not a curated record. Lineage: Eukaryota; Viridiplantae; Streptophyta; Magnoliopsida; Poales; Poaceae. The transcript is spliced from 3 exons.